UACUGAAAGUAUCAAAAGUAAAAAUACUCCAAAUAUAUUAUUGGAUUAACCCUCUGAACCUCAAAGUAUGUUUUUCUUAAGAAAUCAGCAGAAAUAGACAAUUUAUUGUAGAAAGAAACUGUAAAAACAGACAUUAUCAUAAGAGUUUGAACUUUCCAACGGACUUUGAAUGGAUCAUCAGUUACAUCGGUCACAUUUACACAGAGCAGAGAGGAGAGGACAGGAGACAAUACUUCAACAUGUACAAAGUGUGGAGAAAACUUUUAUAACACUCAGGACACUUGUUGGGACUUGGAAAAUGACACAAACUGUGUCUCAUUGGUGAGACUGUGGCCGUGUCCCAAUGUCAAGGAUCCUUCCUUGGUAGGAUCCUUCCUUCAGAGUCGGGUCCUCCGGAGGCAAGGCCAGAGUCCUUCCUUUCUCUGGUGUAACCACUAAUGGGACAGCCUUCGGAGUGUGCAGCUGUGCGUCAUUGCGUAAUUGGACGUCCUGCUUAACUUCAGCGCCGCUCUCGGCCCUUUGGCUAAGAUCAAGUGUAGUAUCUGUUCUUAUCAGUUUAAUCAGUUUAAUAAAAAAUAAAAAUAAAUAAAUAAAUUCAGCGCCGCAAUUUCAAAAUCAGUUCACGACAUGAAUGUGUCUCUGGCAUCAGCACUCUGACACAUAUUAUAUAAUUAUUAUUAUAUUUGUGAAAAUGGAAGAAGAUGCUUUAAGGUUGAAUCUCCACGAUUUAUCAAGUAAAAACCAUAAAGUGGAUUAAACCUGAAUAUUUAACUGAUCCUGGCUGAAUUCGGCCGCUACUUAGUGCCAUGAAUGCAGCGGCGCAUAAUUCAUCAUGGAAAUAUGUUCUGUGAUUUUUUAUUUUACAGUACAGUACAAUAACAGUUAUUUAUAAAUAACAGUAACGGAUAAUAGCGGACUUUCGGUCCCUGUAAACACAAUAAAGAAAUGUAUAACUUUCUGAAUGGCACAGUUGCACAUAGUACAUCAUCAUCGGACACAUAUAAAUUAAUAAACAAUAACUUUAGCGACUGAGACGGCAUUAAUUAACUUAACCGGCAAUGUAUCAAGAUGACGUUUAUUAUCUUUAAGCUUAAUAUUCUGGCAUAUGCUUAUUCAUAUGUUUUUGCUUGACCUUGAACACACGUUUUGUAAGUUAUGUGACAACAUUCAGUGUAAACUGAAAAUAUCUACAUAUUUAAAUGCAUAUUGCGCUGCCGGCGUCGCUGUUUCAACGCUCGGCAUUUUUAAAUCUCCCGGUAGACCGGUGUGCGCAAUGCUUUAUGGGUAGUCGGAGCGCACGGAGGAUACACACAUGCAUCCUUGGAGUUUGGGCAGAAGAAGGACUCUGUCCUCCGGAGCAUCCUGGACAUUGGGACAGUCCUUCGGCGGAUGUCGAUGACGUAGUGUCCUUCAAAUCCAGCCGUUUGAGCAUCCUUCCUUGACAUUGGGAGCCUGUUUGUCCUUUACAUCUUUCUUUAUCUCCUUAGAUGGUUAGUCAGCACCAUCUAGUGGACAGAUAGUAGAACUACAUCCUGUUUACUCUCUGAAACACGUCACUGUGAAGUGUUGAGGGUGGGACUUCCUCAGCUCAGACGCUCACACACACAAGAAAGAAGAAGAAACGAGCAGCUUCUUCUCUCCCAGAGUUUCUUCGACACAUGAAGGUGGAAAGUGCCUGUAAGUGGACCUGAAGUGAGUUCAGCAGACUUGGACUGUGAAGUUGUGAGGGUGUGACGGCGUCCUCAGCUCAGACGCUCACAGACACCAGGACUGACGAAGACGAAGACGAGCAGCUUCUUCUCUCCCAGAGUUUCCUCCACACAUGAAGGUGGAAAGUGUCUGUAAGUCGACCUGAAGUGAGUUCAGCAGGUAGAAUCGACAGUUUGAUUGUAAUCUGAGUUCACGUCAUCGGUGAAAAACGUCUGGAGUGUCUGAACUGGUCUGACAGCUUGGAUCCACUCGGCUCAGGUGUGUUUAUAUUACUUAAAUGUUAAUACUCUGAAGUUAUGUGGAUAAAUGAAGUGUUAAGUGGUCAAAUCCAGACAUCUUCCAACACUGAAACCUGGUUUAACUGAAGACCAUUUAGCACAGUCCAGGUCUCAACUGUCCAGAGGCUUAAAAAAAUUAAACUUAAAUUUUUUUUUUAAAAUACAAUAUGUAUGUAGCAUGUGCUUGUUACCUGUUUUAAUAUUUGUUUUUUGUUUUUCCCUGAGAUAAUAU
Centropristis striata (black sea bass) is the source of this 2220-nucleotide long non-coding RNA. RefSeq lists it as uncharacterized. The record is from RefSeq and is a predicted model, not a curated record. NCBI's taxonomy places the organism in Eukaryota, Metazoa, Chordata, Actinopteri, Perciformes, Serranidae. The transcript has 3 exons.